Non-coding RNA from Macaca fascicularis (crab-eating macaque), 69 nucleotides. Lineage: Eukaryota; Metazoa; Chordata; Mammalia; Primates; Cercopithecidae. The record is from Ensembl.
GUAGAUAUAGUUUAACUAAAACAUUAGAUUGUGAGUCUAACUAUAGAAGCUUACCACUUCUUAUUUACC